RNAcentral lists this non-coding RNA (24 nucleotides) under Arabidopsis thaliana (thale cress). Lineage: Eukaryota; Viridiplantae; Streptophyta; Magnoliopsida; Brassicales; Brassicaceae. The record is from RNAcentral.
AACGCCAUUGUUUUCAUCGUAAGU